CUGGAUGGGGGCCUGACUCCCAGGCCACAGGGGAAGGGGGCACCCUCAGAUUCCACCACCUGCCGCCUCUCAGCAGCCUUCCCACCUUGCCGGCCCCAGCCCCCCUCGCCCCUCCCCUGCACACACGGCUGCCCCUCCUGCACGCGCACUCCAUUGCACGCCCACUCGCCUCUACCCGCUUCCCUGGGCUGCAGUUUUGCACAGAUUGGCCCUCUCGCUGUCUUGCACACUCGCCUUUGCGUCCAGGCUCCGGGGGCCCCCUCAGCUGUCAGACAUGCUGUUUUCCUGGCACACGUUGCGUUUCGCUCCCUCCUCCGCUCUGCGCCCUCCGCUCUGACUCUGCUCACACUCUUCUGCUGGGACCCUCUUGUGCACACCUCACUUCCUACAGCCUCAGACUCCUCAGCCUCUCUGAACCCAUGAUGCAGACACACGUGGGACACACCUUCCCUGCCCAUCCGGACCCCACCCCCACCCCCACCCCCGCCCCCGCUCCCUGGGAGCCUUCUCUGCUCAGUCCUAGCGUCUGUCCGACUGUCCGUCUGUCGGUGCUCUCUCGUGCAGCCCUCCGCACACAGUUACCUCCAUUUGCUUACGUCGAAGCACUUUCUCUUCUUUAUCAUGAACCCCCAGAUUCUUACUCUACCCACCUCUUCCUCCAAGUGGCACUCUCACCCCUCCCCUGCCACUUUCUCCCUCAACCUCUUGCACUGUCACUUUUGCACACUUGCUUCACAGAACUGUCUCACAAAUGCUCACUCCCCUCCUCUGCCAGGCCCCAUUUCCCUGCACCCCUCUUCUUCAGGCCCUUGUCCACCUCCACUUUUGACUCUCACACACCCUCUUGCACACUCGCCGUCACGUGCACCCUCCCCUGCGUUCUCACUGUUCCCCGGGAGCCUCUUCCUUCUGUGAUGCUUUGCACCCGGGGACCUGCUGCACCCCUCUGCCUUUCCGCUAAUGCAGCUCCCAGGAGAGCGUGCACUGCCCCCUCUUCCUGUUUGCACACCCAUCUCCCCGCUUCUGGGCUGCACUGCCCCUCCUUCUCCUGACACCCUUCUCUUCUGCUCCUGUCCAGGCACAGCUCUGUGGCUGUUCUCACGCUCUGCGCCCCUCCCGCGCUCCUCACUCCCUGGAGAAAGGCCGGUGCUUGCCUGCUCCUGCUCACCAGGCUUCUCACCCCUCCUCUGCCGCCAGCUCCCCUUCUCUUCCAGCUCUCUCCCCUUACUCUCCCUGCCCUUCCUGGGCCACCUGUCCCUCCGUUUUGCACGAGGAUCCCACUCUCCUCCUACCCUCCUCUUCUCUCCUUUCUCUCCCCCUUCUCCCUCCAGCAUGGCUGCUCCGUCCCGCACGCUUCCCCUUUCCCCUUAUUCCUGGGGCUUGGGAAUUUUAAGCCACCCCUACCCCUUGGAAGCCCCCUCCCCUGCUGUGGGUAAAGGGGGGAGGGCAUAGCCCUCAGGUCCCCCCCCACCAUGUUCAGCUGCCAAAGAAGGGAGCUCCCCCUCCGUCCCCCAAGCCCAUUCCCCUCUGCUGCCCCCUACCCCCGAGGGGGGGGGCGCUCCGCCCAUGAGGGGAGGGGGCUGCCCCCUCCCCUCACCACGUCAGGGAUCUGCGGGGAAACUUGCGGGAGGGUUGUGGGAGGGGGGAGGGAUGGCGAGAAGAGGAGCAGAAGUCGCGCUGGGUCCCUACCCGCCCCCUCCCCCUUGUCGGAUGCCCCCCAGUCCGCAGGGGGCCUGCGCGGCACCUGUCUAUCAAGGGCUUGUUCAUUCUGG
This 1772-nucleotide long non-coding RNA is filed under the name Marmota monax (woodchuck). The record is from RNAcentral. Lineage: Eukaryota; Metazoa; Chordata; Mammalia; Rodentia; Sciuridae.